UCCUCCCUCUUUCUUCGUGCUUAACACAUGCAAGUCGAACGGAAAGGCCCUGCUUUUGUGGGGUGCUCGAGUGGCGAACGGGUGAGUAACACGUGAGUAACCUGCCCUUGACUUUGGGAUAACUUCAGGAAACUGGGGCUAAUACCGGAUAGGAGCUCCUGCUGCAUGGUGGGGGUUGGAAAGUUUCGGCGGUUGGGGAUGGACUCGCGGCUUAGCAGCUUGUUGGUGGGGUAGUGGCUUACCAAGGCUUUGCAGGGUAGCCGGCCUGAGAGGGUGACCGGCCACAGUGGGACUGAGAGACGGCCCAGAGGCCUACGGGAGGCAGCAGUGGGGAAUAUUGCACAAUGGGCGGAAGCCUGAUGCAGCAACGCCGCGUGCGGGAUUACGGCCUUCGGGUUGUAAACCGCUUUCGCCUGUGACGAAGCGUGAGUGACGGGAAUGGGUAAAGAAGCACCGGCGAACUACGU
RNAcentral lists this ribosomal RNA (467 nucleotides) under uncultured bacterium. RNAcentral describes it as "partial 16S ribosomal RNA". It matches the Rfam family "Bacterial small subunit ribosomal RNA", at positions 36 to 506 of the family's 1533-position model. The record is from RNAcentral.